GUAUGACCUGUCAGCCUCUACAUUCUCUCCUGAUGGAAGAGUUUUUCAAGUUGAAUAUGCUAUGAAAGCUGUGGAAAAUAGUAGCUAUUGGAAUCAGAUGUAAAGAUGGCGUUGUCUUUGGGGUAGAAAAGUUAGUCCUUUCUAAACUUUAUGAAGAAGGUUCCAACAAACGACUUUUUAAUGUUGAUCGGCAUGUUGGAAUGGCAGUAGCAGGUUUGCUGGCGGAUGCGCGAUCUUUAGCAGACAUUGCAAGAGAAGAAGCUUCCAACUUCAGAUCUAAUUUUGGCUAUAACAUUCCA
Puma concolor (puma) is the source of this 299-nucleotide non-coding RNA. NCBI's taxonomy places the organism in Eukaryota, Metazoa, Chordata, Mammalia, Carnivora, Felidae. The record is from RefSeq and is a predicted model, not a curated record.